This 365-nucleotide long non-coding RNA is filed under the name Gallus gallus (chicken). Lineage: Eukaryota; Metazoa; Chordata; Aves; Galliformes; Phasianidae. The record is from RNAcentral.
CUGAAGCAUUUGCUGAAGACAGACAUCACAGCCAGCACAUGGAUGGUGUACCCAGCAGUUCAGAAAGGAAACCUGGGUGUGUUUUGAUGCAUAAAAAUGAGUCUACAAUCAAAAUCCUACCCCGGUGGGUAUUUGCGUACUCUCUGGCUGUGCUUCAGAAAAAGCUGAAUUUUGUCUUAAGCAGAAAAGCAGUGAAGACCAAUUCAUUAAAAACAACAGCCAUAGGAGGUAUGUGAUUUGUUUUGAGGAUCAUUUCAGCUCGAAAUGCAAACAGUAAUAAAAAUUCAGGGAAACAAUUGAAAAUCUACAAGGACAGCUCAUUUAAAGGCUGUGAUGAUUUUAUGUUUGGAAUUAAGGUAAUGUGC